RNAcentral lists this long non-coding RNA (275 nucleotides) under Hordeum vulgare. RNAcentral's name for it is "long non-coding RNA (HVUL_LNC018619)". The record is from RNAcentral. Lineage: Eukaryota; Viridiplantae; Streptophyta; Magnoliopsida; Poales; Poaceae.
AUAUCAUGUCACUUAUGAAUUGCAUGUGAUGUUAAUCCUUUUAUGCACCUUAUCUUGCUUAGAACGACGGUAACAUUAUAAGGUGAUACCUCACUAAAAUUUCAAGAUAAAAUUGUGUUAUCCCCGACUGUGCACCGUUGCGACAGUUCGUCAUUUCGAGACACCACGUGAUGAUCGGGUGUGAUAGACUCAAUGUUCACAUACAACGGGUGCAAAACAGUUGCACAUGCGGAAACUCGGGUUAAACUUGAUGAGCCUAGCAUGUACAGACAUGG